RNAcentral lists this ribosomal RNA (444 nucleotides) under uncultured bacterium. RNAcentral describes it as "bacterial SSU rRNA". It matches the Rfam family "Bacterial small subunit ribosomal RNA", at positions 330 to 789 of the family's 1533-position model. The record is from RNAcentral.
ACCAGACUCCUACGGGAGGCAGCAGUGGGGGAUAUUGCACAAUGGGGGGAACCCUGAUGCAGCGACGCCGCGUGAGGGAAGACGGUUUUCGGAUUGUAAACCUCUGUCUUUAGGGACGAAACAAAUGACGGUACCUAAAGAGGAAGCCACGGCUAACUACGUGCCAGCAGCCGCGGUAAUACGUAGGUGGCACGCGUUGUCCGGAAUUACUGGGUGUAAAGGGAGCGUAGGCGGGAAUGCAAGUUGAAUGUUGAAACUAUGGGCUCAACCCAUAGUCGCGUUCAAAACUGCAUUUCUUGAGUGGAGUAGAGGCAGGCGGAAUUCCUAGUGUAGCGGUGAAAUGCGUAUAUAUUAGGAGGAACACCAGUGGCGAAGGCGGCCUGCUGGGCGCUAACUGACGCUGAGGCUCGAAAGCGUGGGGAGCAAACAGGAUUAGAUACCCCA